This 322-nucleotide ribosomal RNA is filed under the name uncultured eukaryote. RNAcentral describes it as "partial 18S ribosomal RNA". It matches the Rfam family "Eukaryotic small subunit ribosomal RNA", at positions 1470 to 1796 of the family's 1831-position model. The record is from RNAcentral.
CCCUUAGAUGUUCUGGGCCGCACGCGUGCUACACUGAGUGGAUCAGCGGGUCAGGUUGCGCGAAAGUGUUUCCUAAUCUUGAAAUCCGCUCGUGAUGGGGAUUGACGGUUGCAAUUUUCCGUUAUGAACGAGGAAUACCUUGUAAGCGCGGGUCAUCAUCCCGCGCUGAAUACGUCCCUGCCCUUUGUACACACCGCCCGUCGCUCCUACCGAUUGAGUGGUCCGGUGAGGCUUUGGGAUCUGAGCAAAGAGAGCGUUUCGCUCGUUUUGCCCGGAAAACUCAGUCGAACCUUAUCAUUUAGAGGAAGGAGAAGUCGUAACA